UACGUAUGGAGCAAGCGUUAUCCGGAUUUACUGGGUGUAAAGGGAGCGCAGGCGGCUUUGCAAGUCUGAUGUGAAAGGCCGGGGCUCAACCCUGGGACUGCAUUGGAAACUGUAAAGCUAGAGUGCCGGAGAGGUAAGCGGAAUUCCUAGUGUAGCGGUGAAAUGCGUAGAUAUUAGGAGGAACACCAGUGGCGAAGGCGGCUUACUGGACGGCAACUGACGCUGAGGCUCGAAAGCGUGGGGAGCAAACAGG
This 253-nucleotide ribosomal RNA is filed under the name uncultured bacterium. Its description in RNAcentral is "partial 16S ribosomal RNA". It matches the Rfam family "Bacterial small subunit ribosomal RNA", at positions 524 to 776 of the family's 1533-position model. The record is from RNAcentral.